CAGCAGCCACGGUAAUACAGAGGAUGCAAGCGUUAUCCGGAAUGAUUGGGCGUAAAGCGUCUGUAGGUGGCUUUUCAAGUCAGUCGUCAAAUCCCUGGGCUCAACCCUGGACAAGCAGUGGAAACUACCAAGCUGGAGUAUAGUAGGGGCAGAGUGAAUUUCCGGUGGAGCGAUGAAAUGCGUUGAGAUCAGAAAGAACACCAACGGCGAAAGCACUCUGCUGGGCCGACACUGACACUGAGAGACGAAAGCUAGGGGAGCAAAUGGGAUUAGAUACCCGCGUAGUCCCUGUCUCUUAUAC
RNAcentral lists this ribosomal RNA (301 nucleotides) under uncultured bacterium. RNAcentral's name for it is "partial 16S ribosomal RNA". It matches the Rfam family "Bacterial small subunit ribosomal RNA", at positions 509 to 807 of the family's 1533-position model. The record is from RNAcentral.